GAUGAACGCUAGCUACAGGCUUAACACAUGCAAGUCGAGGGGCAUCGGGAAAGUAGCUUGCUACUUUUGCCGGCGACCGGCGGAUGGGUGAGUAACGCGUACCCAACCUGCCCCCUUCCCGGGCACAGCCCUUGGAAACGAGGAUUAACGCCCGAUGGCGUCUGGAUGCCGCAUGGCAUUCCGACCAAAUGCGAAGGAAGGGGAUGGGGGUGCGUCCCAUUAGCUAGUUGGCGGGGUAACGGCCCACCAAGGCAUCGAUGGGUAGGGGUUCUGAGAGGAAGGUCCCCCACACUGGAACUGAGACACGGUCCAG
RNAcentral lists this ribosomal RNA (313 nucleotides) under uncultured bacterium. Its description in RNAcentral is "bacterial SSU rRNA". It matches the Rfam family "Bacterial small subunit ribosomal RNA", at positions 28 to 334 of the family's 1533-position model. The record is from RNAcentral.